Molecule: unclassified non-coding RNA, 253 nt
Filed under: uncultured Alphaproteobacteria bacterium
Lineage: Bacteria; Pseudomonadati; Pseudomonadota; Alphaproteobacteria
Description: contains 16S-23S intergenic spacer region
Rfam family: Bacterial small subunit ribosomal RNA
Source: RNAcentral
UACGGAGGGGGCUAGCGUUGUUAGGAAUUACUGGGCGUAAAGGGCCCGUAGGCGGGCUGUUAAGUCGGGGGUGAAAUCCUGAGGCUCAACCUCAGAAUUGCCUCCGAUACUGGCGGCCUCGAGUGCGGGAGAGGUGAGUGGAAUUCCCAGUGUAGAGGUGAAAUUCGUAGAUAUUCGGAGGAACACCAGUGGCGAGGGCGGCUCACUGGCCCGAAACUGACGCUGAGGUGCGAAAGCGUGGGGAGCAAACAGG